RNAcentral lists this ribosomal RNA (245 nucleotides) under uncultured archaeon. Its description in RNAcentral is "partial 16S ribosomal RNA". It matches the Rfam family "Archaeal small subunit ribosomal RNA", at positions 474 to 717 of the family's 1478-position model. The record is from RNAcentral.
CACCCGCGCCACAAGUGGCGAUCGCUAUUAUUGGGCCUAAAGCGUCCGUAGCAGGCUCUGUCAAUUCCCUGUGAAAUCGUUGCGCUCAACGUAACGGCGCGCAGGGGACACUGCAGUAGCUUGGGACCGGGAGGAGUCAGAGGUAUUUCGUGGGGAGCGGUAAAAUGCUAUAAUCCACGAAGGACCACCAAUGGCGAAGGCAUCUGACUAGAACGGAUCCGACUGUGAGGGACGAAAGCUAGGGG